GUUUCGGUAGCUCAGUCUGCGGAGCACCUGUACGGAGUGAGCGAAAGCGCCUAGCAAUAACUUUCAGGAGGUCGCAGGAUCGAAGCCUGCCCGGGAUU
Meloidogyne enterolobii is the source of this 98-nucleotide non-coding RNA. The record is from the annotation of a GenBank genome assembly. NCBI's taxonomy places the organism in Eukaryota, Metazoa, Nematoda, Chromadorea, Rhabditida, Meloidogynidae.